Molecule: long non-coding RNA, 987 nt
Filed under: Homo sapiens (human)
Lineage: Eukaryota; Metazoa; Chordata; Mammalia; Primates; Hominidae
Description: VIPR1 antisense RNA 1
Source: RNAcentral
AAGGACUGUGCUCCCAAUCCGCUUACGCUCAAGGAAGAACUGGAAGGCCCAGAACCAGCCUGCUGUCAGGAUCAGAACAAAAGAGGAGGACUGCAUAUGUAUGGACCCACUCCAGAUGGCACGGGGACGGGGGGAGUAGGAAAAGUGGCAUGGUCCCUUCCCGUGGAUAUAAUUCUUCCCAGGCCUGUUGUGUGAGUUGGUGAUGCCAUCAUUCCUGCCUCACACUUGCAAACUUCCCUCUUUGGAAUUUCAGAGACCAGGCCCACAGAGUAUGGCUGUGCAAGUUGUUCACUCUACAAGGGCACCUGGCCGGGGUCUUACCUUGAAUGGAGGAGAAGAGCUUGAAGAUGAGGGGACAGGCCAAGACAACUACCUGGCCCCGAGGGGUGGCUGGCCAGCAGAUGAGGAAAUGGAGGCACAGACUGAUUAGAAAACCAGCUCAAGGUCAUGUUGCUGGGCUCUCUGGUGGAGCCUCUGUCUCACAGGUCACCUGCAGGCCAACACUCCCAGAAGCAGCUAGCACCAUGGUUGACCUCGUCCAGGUCCAGGGAAGGCCUCCCUCUCCAGGACUCCUUUAGAUUUCCCCAGCAUCCAGACCUCACCUGCCUAAGUGCUGUUGCCCUGGAAGCCACAGUGAGCACGAGCUCCAUCUUGCACCUUUACCAGCCAAUGGGGGUAAAGACAUUAGCUGAAAUACUUCUAAGGGGCCAGGCGUGGUGACUCAUGCUUGUAAUUCCAAGCACUUUGGGAGGCUGAGGCAGGUGGAUCACCUGAAGCCAGGAGUUCAAGAGCAGCCUGGCCAACAUGGCGAAACCCUGUCUCUACUAAAAAUACAAAAUUUAGCCAGGCAUGGUGGCGGGAGCCUGUAAUCUCAGCUCCUAGGGAGGCUGAGCCAGAAGAAUCGCUUAAACCUGGAAGCUGGAGGUUGCAGUGAGCCAAGAUCACACCACCACACUCCAGCCUGGGUGACAGAGCAAGACUCCAUCU